AGAUUUCUUCGGGGCAGGGUGUAAUUCCCGACCGAUGGUGACAGUCGCCGUACUUACGGGUACGGUUGACUGAAGUCCGUGACCCACGGUUUUCCGUGGUUGACCCAGUGCGAGUCUGGGACCGACAGUUAAAGUCUGGAUGGGAGAAGAAAAAA
This 155-nucleotide non-coding RNA is filed under the name Secundilactobacillus similis. RNAcentral's name for it is "Lactobacillus similis FMN sequence". It matches the Rfam family "FMN riboswitch aptamer (RFN element)". Rfam says of the family: The RFN element is a highly conserved domain that is found frequently in the 5'-untranslated regions of prokaryotic mRNAs that encode for flavin mononucleotide (FMN) biosynthesis and transport proteins. This element is a metabolite-dependent riboswitch that directly binds FMN in the absence of proteins. In Bacillus subtilis, the riboswitch most likely controls gene expression by causing premature transcription termination within the 5' untranslated region of the ribDEAHT operon and precluding access to the ribosome-binding site of ypaA mRNA. The record is from RNAcentral. Lineage: Bacteria; Bacillati; Bacillota; Bacilli; Lactobacillales; Lactobacillaceae. RNAcentral also lists the same sequence under 1 other name.